Molecule: RNA transcript, 1400 nt
Organism: Tribolium castaneum (red flour beetle)
Lineage: Eukaryota; Metazoa; Arthropoda; Insecta; Coleoptera; Tenebrionidae
Exons: 2
Source: RefSeq, a predicted model, not a curated record
UCAAAACAAAAUCUUAUGCUAGGAUUCAGAUUAGGAUUGCAAGAAAGUUCAGUUAAUAUCGAUUCAAAGAAAAAAAACGAAAUCUAAUUCAGUGUAAACAAAAUCAAUUCAAAUCGAACAAUUAAACAUGUACACGUAUAAUAGAAUAUAAUAAAAUCAACAAUAGAAACUUAUAAUAGACAUUUUAAACCAAAAUUUUGUUUUUAAGAGAAAAAUUAACACAAGAUAAAGUUGUAAAUAAUAUAAUAAGGUGUUCUUUGACAUGCCGAUUUAACUGAAUUCAAGUCGACCAUUUUUUUAACUCUUAUCAAAGAAAAUUAAUUUGAGAGCAUUGAUAGAGCGAUUCCCAUCAAUUCAGACGGAUUUAAAUUCAAUAUAAUAAUUUUCAAUUAGUCGCUCUCAAUCGAUAUUCUUAGCGAAUGAAAAUAAUCGAUUCACGAAUGGGCGAUUCGAACACCACUAGUUGAGAUCACAAAUUAAUUCAGAUUCAUUUAUUCGUGUUUUCGCCGCAAGUCUUUUCGUUUAAAGGGUUAGAUGUAUUCAAGGUCAUUGAAAUAUUUUUCUAAAUAUCGAAGCUUCCGAUUGAAAUGAUCGCACUUUACAUAUAUACUCUUUGCCCCGUGUGUUCGUCUCCUUGUCUACGUCUGUAUGGCUCGGUUUUACCAAAAUAGUGUUAAACCUAAGAUACGGUUGAUUAGGAUGAACUGAAAUUAUUUCAGUAGUAUUAUGGCAAAACAUGUUAUCUGCUAUUUGUGUUACGUAUAUAUACACAUAACUUACUUUGCCAUAUUAAUUUCAACAGUCAUUUUGUCAGUAGUGCAUAGUGAUUGUCAACUUAAAGUAUACGUUAUUUGCGGGCAUUUGAUGUCAAAAAUGCAUUGUGACGAAAAAAAGGCAGAUAACAUAUUUUACUAUAUACUACUGAUUUAUAAAAGUCAUUUUCCAAACCAUGUUAUCUCUAACUCCAAGCUAAAGUGCAUGUUAUUUUAACUUAAGUACAUGUGUCCGUCAGUUUGCGUGUCUCUUGUCAAAAAGGCGGAUGCAAUCAAAACCGAAUGGAUGGCAAGUUCACAAAUCGAAGACCGAAAAGGGCUUAUUUUAAGUCGGUUUUUUUCAACUAUAGAAAGUAAACAGAACCUACUAAUAACCGAUUUAGACGAAAUAAGAACCGAUGUAGACAAAAUAAGAACCGAUGUCGACAAAAUAAGAACCGAUGUAAACGAACUAUCAACCGAUGUAAAGCAGUUACCACAGACCAUCCGUUUGGUAGUGCGGGAGGAAAUACAAAACGCAAUUCACAACGAAACACCAAAACAGCUAAAGAAUCUUUUAAAACUGGGGUUUGAUAAUUUGUAAAAUUUGUAAAAUAUAAUUCAAUUAUUAUUAUGUAAUGUAAUGUA